AGAAGUCGAAGGGACCCAAUCUCCGAGGAGUUGAGAUCGGUCUCGCUGGGGGCCCACUCUCACCAUCACCUCCAAAGGUCAUGAGCUCAGAUCUCAAACUGCACUUUUUAAAUUUCAAGAUACCAGUCCGAAGGACAAAGCACUGAGUUCUAGAAAGAGAUAACUUAAACUCGAUGGCUGCUACCUAGAUUCAUUUGGUUCGGCAAAUGUUCAUUGAAGGCAGUCUUUUCUGUGCUAACCACUGGAAACCAAAAGAUGAAUAAGAGAAGGCCCUGCCCUCGUGGGAAUGGCUCCCACUCCCUAAUCCGUGGAACCUGUGAACGUGUUAUAUAACAUGGCAAAAGGGACUUUGCAGAUGUAAUUAAAGUUGCAGACCUUAAAAUAGAGAGAUUAUCCUGGAUUGUGUGGGUGGUCCAAUAUAAUACAUGAGUUCUUAGAAGCAGAGAAUUUGCUUAGGUUAUAAGCAGAAGGGAUGUGACGGAAAGAAAAAUCAGAGAGAUUCAAAGCAUGAGAGGGGGUCAACAAGCUCAAAGAUCAAGGGGACAAUAUGACAAGGAAUGCAGGUGACCUUCAGGAGCUGAGAGCCUCUGACUGACAGCCAG
Equus caballus (horse) is the source of this 602-nucleotide long non-coding RNA. Lineage: Eukaryota; Metazoa; Chordata; Mammalia; Perissodactyla; Equidae. The record is from Ensembl.